This 508-nucleotide ribosomal RNA is filed under the name uncultured bacterium. RNAcentral's name for it is "partial 16S ribosomal RNA". It matches the Rfam family "Bacterial small subunit ribosomal RNA", at positions 28 to 507 of the family's 1533-position model. The record is from RNAcentral.
GACGAACGCUGGCGGCGUGCCUAAUACAUGCAAGUCGAACGCUUCUUUCCUCCCGAGUGCUUGCACUCAAUUGGAAAGAGGAGUGGCGGACGGGUGAGUAACACGUGGGUAACCUACCCAUCAGAGGGGGAUAACACUUGGAAACAGGUGCUAAUACCGCAUAACAGUUUAUGCCGCAUGGCAUAAGAGUGAAAGGCGCUUUCGGGUGUCGCUGAUGGAUGGACCCGCGGUGCAUUAGCUAGUUGGUGAGGUAACGGCGCACCAAGGCCACGAUGCAUAGCCGACCUGAGAGGGUGAUCGGCCACACUAGGACGGAGCCACGGCCCAGAAUCCUACGGUAGGCAGCAGUAGGGAAUCUUCGGCAAUGGACGAAAGUAUGACCGAGCAAGGCAGCGUGAGUGGAGAAGGUUUUCGGAUCGUAAAACUCUGUUGUUAGAGAAGAACAAGGACGUUAGUAACUGAACGUCCCCUGACGGUAUCUAACCAGAAAGCCACGGCUAACUACGUG